UUCAGCAGGGACGAAGCGAGAGUGACGGUACCUGCAGAAGAAGCACCGGCCAACUACGUGCCAGCAGCCGCGGUAAUACGUAGGGUGCAAGCGUUGUCCGGAAUUAUUGGGCGUAAAGAGCUCGUAGGCGGUUCGUCGCGUCGGCUGUGAAAACCUGAGGCUCAACCUCAGGCCUGCAGUCGAUACGGGCGGACUUGAGUGUUGCAGGGGAGACUGGAAUUCCUGGUGUAGCGGUGAAAUGCGCAGAUAUCAGGAGGAACACCGGUGGCGAAGGCGGGUCUCUGGGCAACUACUGACGCUGAGGAGCGAAAGCGUGGGGAGCGAACAGGAUUAGAUACCCUGGUAGUCCACGCCGUAAACGUUGGGCGCUAGGUGUGGGGGCCAUUCCACGGUCUCCGUGCCGCAGCUAACGCAUUAAGCGCCCCGCCUGGGGAGUACGGCCGCAAGGCUAAAACUCAAAGGAAUUGACGGGGGCCCGCACAAGCGGCGGAGCAUGUUGCUUAAUUCGAUGCAACGCGAAGAACCUUACCUAGGCUUGACAUGCACGGAAAUCUCGCAGAGAUGCGGGGUCCGUAAGGGCCGUGCACAGGUGGUGCAUGGUUGUCGUCAGCUCGUGUCGUGAGAUGUUGGGUUAAGUCCCGCAACGAGCGCAACCCUCGUUCCAUGUUGCCAGCGCGUAAUGGC
RNAcentral lists this ribosomal RNA (684 nucleotides) under uncultured Streptomyces sp. RNAcentral describes it as "bacterial SSU rRNA". It matches the Rfam family "Bacterial small subunit ribosomal RNA", at positions 434 to 1132 of the family's 1533-position model. The record is from RNAcentral. Lineage: Bacteria; Bacillati; Actinomycetota; Actinomycetes; Kitasatosporales; Streptomycetaceae.